AAAAAACUCCAUCUCCAUUUAUGUAUCCAGAUAGAUAAUUUUUCAUGUUCCAACUAAUACCGAUCAAGCUAAUUUAGUACUCCAAAUCACAAAAAAAUCAUCUUCAUACAUGCAUCAAGAUAGAUAACUUAAAGCGCCAUAAUUUAAUUCUCCAAAUCAUAAAAAAUCAUCUCCAUUCAUGCAUCUAAAUUACAAAAAAAUCAUCAUAUUCAUUCUGGUGCAACCCAAGGUCUUGGUCUUGCCUUCCCCUUCCUCUAGACUUGCAUGUUCCAUGUGACGCAACAAAAAAAAAUUCAUCAACAUUAUGAAAGCACUAUACUUUAGAUUAUAUAAGACCUCAAUGACAGAAAAAUAUUCCUUCUUUGCUCAUUUUCCCCAUCAAACUCUGGAAGACCGGCCACAGACACAGAAAGCUAGCAAACAUGAUUACUCUUCCGUAGCAUCACCGAUGGUAACAUCAGUUUUCGGUCUCAAUGGAGUGAUCUUCGUUGACAAUACCUCUGCAAACAAUAGCACUCCCAACCUUGUAUAUCUUUGCACUUAGACGCUACUGCUGGAUACAAUUGGUACAUGUUAAUGGCUCUAUAAGGGAAUUGUGUCCAUUCAUGAUUAACGACUAGAAUAUCAGGAACCCUGUUGCACGCUUCGGGAACUAUGUCCAUUCAUAAUCAACUGCAACUAUGCAGUAAGGGUACCAAAACGGGUUCCAGCCAAAAAACAAUAGAAACCACUCCAACUAAUCCACAUUUCACAUCUUCUUCUAAACUGAGUAACUCUAGUCUUCAGGAAGAACAACAAAAAUUUCAGCAUCCAGCCAAAAGAAUAUUUCUCAGCUGCUACAGCUAACAGAAAAAUUUGCCACUGUGCGGAGUCUUUGGUUUUUAUUUUUUGUACUUUAUUCGUCAUGACCAUCCUCUUUUUAAUAGGACAUGCAACUCUCCUACAGUUCAGUUUUUUAGAAAGAAUCUAAUAAACAACAUCAUCCUUUUAUCUAGUGGAGCAUAUCAGAGUGGACUGAAAUGGUAUGGAGGUAGAGCUCCAUCGGACCAACAUCUAUUGGGUGAGGUUCAUCGAUGGUAGGAAAGUAAAAAAGAAGUUCCACACAGAAGAAACAAUAGUGGGAGAGAAAUGAUUGUUUUUUGUAGUCAACACUUCUCAAAUUAGUAGGAAAGUAAAAAGAAGUAAAAACUUCGUAUGCAUUAACUUCCAUCGAACAACAAAAACAUAAGCAUAUGUUGGCAACAGCUGACCUGAACAGGCAAGAAACUAGCCUUUGAAUAAUUAAGCACGGCCAUUUGCUUUCCCCUCACUUUGAAUUUUUCUACUAGUCUUGGAUAAACAUCAGAAAGUCAAUUUGACAGAAACAUAGGAACCAAAUUAGGCUAACUGAGGAAAGGGGACAAGAGAAAGAAACAGGAUCUGCCCAUACGCACACCAGCCUUGCCGAGAUCUGUCUGCCCGCUUGCUGCCUACUUCUCAUCCAUGCAUGGUGCUGCCGGCAUUGCCCAACGCCCAUACAAUCCUCCUCCUCUUCGCCUCCAUGGCGUGGUCCCAGGAGGAGGCGUCUAGCCGCAUAGCCGAGCCCCACGCAUCCUCGUACAUGACGGCUCGAACGAGUGUGGGUUUGGUGAGGACGAGCAACCCAUACAUGACGACGAUGAACACCAUGGAUAGUCCAAGCGUGACGCCGAACUUCUUGUUCGCCGCCUCUUUCCCCACUCAAAUCGGACUCUAGUCUCUUGCCCAAAUCGCAAGAAGAAACCCUAGCAAGAAGGUGCGGGAAGAGUCGAACUUACCCAGCAAGGUGUGAGAAGAAGUGAGGUUACCCCAGGAAGGAGG
RNAcentral lists this long non-coding RNA (1839 nucleotides) under Zea mays. RNAcentral describes it as "long non-coding RNA (ZMAY_LNC002270)". Lineage: Eukaryota; Viridiplantae; Streptophyta; Magnoliopsida; Poales; Poaceae. The record is from RNAcentral.